Molecule: small RNA, 557 nt
Filed under: Pongo abelii (Sumatran orangutan)
Lineage: Eukaryota; Metazoa; Chordata; Mammalia; Primates; Hominidae
Description: retained intron
Source: RNAcentral
UGGGAAGAACUUGUGGGAAGCCCUUUUCCCGUUUUCAAGCUCCACGCUGCAUCACGGGAAAUGACACUGACCAGAUUAAGCUACAAAUACAAGUCUCGCAGCCAGUCUCAAAGUCUGUAUCCCCAAUAACAUUUUUUAGGUAAAUAAAAAUUGUUACCGGGUGGUCUUCCCUUCUCCAGGAAGCAGAGCUGAGGCUGGUAAAGUUCCUGCCUGAGAUUUUGGCCUUGCAAAGGGGUCUAGUGAAGCAGUUCCAGAACGUCCCGCAAGUUGAAUACAACUCCAUCAGAGGCUUCCUCAGCAAGCACAGCUCAGGUGGGUUGAGGCGGCUACUUCAGAACAGAAUCACAGUCUUUCUGUCGACAUGGAACAAACUGAGGAGAUCACUUGAGAUGAACGGCGAGAUCAACCUACCCAAAGCCUACUGCAGCACUGACUUGGAUCUGGAUGCUGAUUUUGAGAUCCUCUUGCCACGCCGACGGGGCCUGGGCCUCUGUGCUACCGCUCUCGUCAGCUACUUGAUUCGCCUACACAAUGAAAUUGUCUACGCCGUGGAAAAA